UACGUAGGGUGCGAGCGUUGUCCGGAAUUAUUGGGCGUAAAGGGCUCGUAGGCGGUUUGUCGCGUCGGGAGUGAAAACCUCGGGCUUAACUCGGAAAGGUCAACUGAUACUGUGCGGCUAGAGUGCAGAAGGGGCAACUGGAAUUCUCGGUGUAGCGGUGAAAUGCGUAGAUAUCGAGAGGAACACCUGCGGCGAAGGCGGGUUGCUGGGCUGACACUGACGCUGAUGCGCGAAAGCCAGGGGAGCGAACAGG
Molecule: ribosomal RNA, 253 nt
Filed under: uncultured bacterium
Lineage: Bacteria
Description: partial 16S ribosomal RNA
Rfam family: Bacterial small subunit ribosomal RNA
Source: RNAcentral